CCUACGGGCGGCUGCAGUGGGGAAUCUUGCGCAAUGGACGAAAGUCUGACGCAGCGACGCCGCGUGGGUGAAGAAGGCCUUCGGGUUGUAAAGCCCUGUCGAACGGGAAAAACGAUCACUACAAUAAUAAGGUAGUGAUGUGAUGGUACCGUUAGAGGAAGCACCGGCUAACUCUGUGCCAGCAGCCGCGGUAAUACAGAGGGUGCAAGCGUUGUUCGGAAUUAUUGGGCGUAAAGGGCAGGUAGGUGGUCUUAAAAGUCUACUGUGAAAUCCCU
This 275-nucleotide ribosomal RNA is filed under the name uncultured bacterium. RNAcentral's name for it is "partial 16S ribosomal RNA". It matches the Rfam family "Bacterial small subunit ribosomal RNA", at positions 338 to 604 of the family's 1533-position model. The record is from RNAcentral.